RNAcentral lists this ribosomal RNA (301 nucleotides) under uncultured bacterium. RNAcentral's name for it is "partial 16S ribosomal RNA". It matches the Rfam family "Bacterial small subunit ribosomal RNA", at positions 509 to 807 of the family's 1533-position model. The record is from RNAcentral.
CAGUAGCCGCGGUAACACCGAGGGUGCGAGCGUUAAUCGGAUUUACUGGGCGUAAAGCGUGCGUAGGCGGCUUUUUAAGUCGGAUGUGAAAUCCCUGAGCUUAACUUAGGAAUUGCAUUCGAUACUGGGAAGCUAGAGUAUGGGAGAGGAUGGUAGAAUUCCAGGUGUAGCGGUGAAAUGCGUAGAGAUCUGGAGGAAUACCGAUGGCGAAGGCAGCCAUCUGGCCUAAUACUGACGCUGAGGUACGAAAGCAUGGGGAGCAAACAGGAUUAGAUACCCGUGUAGUCCCUGUCUCUUAUAC